CCUACGGGCGGCUGCAGUGGGGAAUAUUGCACAAUGGGCGCAAGCCUGAUGCAGCCAUGCCGCGUGUGUGAAGAAGGCCUUCGGGUUGUAAAGCACUUUCAGCGGGGAGGAAGGCGGUGAGGUUAAUAACCUCAUCGAUUGACGUUACCCGCAGAAGAAGCACCGGCUAACUCCGUGCCAGCAGCCGCGGUAAUACGGAGGCUGCAAGCGUUAAUCGGAAUUACUGGGCGUAAAGCGCACGCAGGCGGUCUGUCAAGUCGGAUGUGAAAUCCCCGGGCUCAACCUGGGAACUGCAUUCGAAACUGGCAGGCUAGAGUCUUGUAGAGGGGGGUAGAAUUCCAGGUGUAGCGGUGAAAUGCGUAGAGAUCUGGAGGAAUACCGGUGGCGGAGGCGGCCCCCUGGACAAAGACUGACGCUCAGGUGCGAAAGCGUGGGGAGCAAACAGGAUUAGAUACCCUUGUAGUC
This 465-nucleotide ribosomal RNA is filed under the name uncultured Klebsiella sp. RNAcentral's name for it is "bacterial SSU rRNA". It matches the Rfam family "Bacterial small subunit ribosomal RNA", at positions 338 to 795 of the family's 1533-position model. Lineage: Bacteria; Pseudomonadati; Pseudomonadota; Gammaproteobacteria; Enterobacterales; Enterobacteriaceae. The record is from RNAcentral.